RNAcentral lists this ribosomal RNA (440 nucleotides) under uncultured bacterium. RNAcentral's name for it is "partial 16S ribosomal RNA". It matches the Rfam family "Bacterial small subunit ribosomal RNA", at positions 338 to 795 of the family's 1533-position model. The record is from RNAcentral.
CCUACGGGAGGCAGCAGUAAGGGAUAUUGGUCAAUGGGGGAAACCCUGAACCCGCAACGUCGCGUGAGGGAAGACGGUUUUAGGAUUGUAACCCUCUGUUCUCUGUGACGAUGAUGAGGGUAGCAGAGGAGGCAGGUAGGGUGAACGCCGUGCCAGCAGCGGCGGUAACACGGAGGGAGCGCGCGGUGUCCCGAUUUACUGGGUGUAAAGGGGGCGUAGGCGGCUUGGCAAGUCAGUUGUGAAAUCCAUGGGUUUAACCCACGAACUUCUGUUGAAACUGGCGGGCUUGAGUGAAGUAGAGGUAGGCGGAAUUCCGGGUGUAGCGGUGAAAUGCGUAGAGAUCGGGAAGAACACCGAUGGCGAAGGCAGCCUACUGGGGUCUAACUGACGCUGAGGCACGAAAGCGUGGGUAGCGAACAGGAUUAGAUACCCCGGUAGUC